Molecule: non-coding RNA, 30 nt
Filed under: Mus musculus (house mouse)
Lineage: Eukaryota; Metazoa; Chordata; Mammalia; Rodentia; Muridae
Source: RNAcentral
UGUGUACUCAGUUGCUUAGUAUUUCUUAGC